GGCCACCCGGGCCGCGAGCCUGCCGCCGCCGUGAAGAAACGACGCCCGAGACCCCGCCGCUCGGCCCGAGGCUCUGCCCCGAGGAGGCCUCACCGCGUUCCUGAGCAGGCGCUGAGAAGACAGCCCGGCCUGGUGGCCAUCGCCGCGUCGCGGGCGCGGCGGAGUGUCCCGUAGACUUAAAGGACCCCGGAGCGGUGCACUUCCGCUUCCGGGGCGGGGCUAGGGCCGCGGAGGCGGAAGUGACUCGGCGGGGCUCGGAAGCAUGGGCUUUGGCGUUGCCUAGGGUUCACAGGGGCGAGCGAUAAGCAAGCAAUCCUUGCGUUGGCAUCACAGGCUCAGGCUUGCGUAUUCUGGCCAGGGCUUUCUCGCAGCUCCUAGAGACGGACCUCAGCCGUGCGUCAUGUGGCCCUCUGAAAGCAUGGAGCUUAUUGCUCCGAAGCCAACAGGAGAGCUGCUCCCAAUUCUGCUACUACUGCUGUUGCAGCUGCUUACAACAGCUAUUAUCGUUGCUAGAGUCUUAUAUUCAAUGUGACAUCAUAGGCGAAAUGAUUCUAUUAUGUUUGCUGUACUACAUAACCCAAUAAAAGGAGGAACAUCCCAUUAUA
This is a non-coding RNA of Myodes glareolus (Bank vole), 605 nucleotides long. Lineage: Eukaryota; Metazoa; Chordata; Mammalia; Rodentia; Cricetidae. The record is from RefSeq and is a predicted model, not a curated record.